This is a long non-coding RNA of Micropterus dolomieu (smallmouth bass), 2820 nucleotides long. RefSeq lists it as uncharacterized. The record is from RefSeq and is a predicted model, not a curated record. NCBI's taxonomy places the organism in Eukaryota, Metazoa, Chordata, Actinopteri, Centrarchiformes, Centrarchidae. The transcript has 3 exons.
UCCUCUUCCUCCCCCACUCCUCCCUUUCUCUCUGCUCUGAUUAGGAGGGGAGCAGUUCCCACCCCUGGUUCAGACGGGUCUUCUACAGGUUAACUCUUCGGUUGCCGCCUCUGACUUUAUCUCCUGCGAGGCCGGCGGUCUGCUCGUGUUUUCACAGAGGCCCCUGCCAGACCAUUUGCGGCAUGUAACUGGUGUUUUCGAGGGAGACCCGAUGCCACAAAAUGGGGCAGAGCUCUGUGUUGUUAAAGGACGUGGAUGAAGCUUUUUUUUCCCCUGAUUCAUCCGCCAACGGAGGCAACAAAAGAGGAGACAUUUGGGGGUAAAAAAAACAAAAACCUCAUGGGUUUUCCAGCCAGUGAACUUCCAGGAAGGCUGGAUAAUGCCCAGCAGAUCUGUGAACAAAUGGUGUAUUACCUAACCCCAACCAGCUUUACAUGAUUUACAGUAGAGUCAGGAGAGGCGGGUGUUUGAGCUCACACUGCCAUCUGCUGGGAAAAAGAAGCAACAAGAAGACAUAUACCCCCCCCCUUUAUUUCACCACACAGACGUGCCAAAACGCCCCAACAUGGCUCCCGAAAACGUCUCUGCCAACCUCACGGACAGAUUCCCCUGAAAUCAGGACUGGGUUUUAAGAUAAAAGAAGUCCCCUACAUGUAAAGCUCAGUCGGUAAUAUGGUGAAGGAGAACGGUAUGUGCCCUGGACUGGUUAGACUGGUUUCUAUGGUGCUGCUGGUUUCUAUGGCAUUUCACCAGGCGCACUUGGCGAUGGCGCCGAAUGAUUAAGGCGGGUCACCAAGGAUGAAAAAUACUGGCUCAGUGUGGGAAUGGAGAUUAAAGGAACGACGCAGCUGUGUACCAGGAAAUAAACCGUAGAGGCAAAGAAAAAAAGAUGUUGAAAACAGGAAGACGAUUUAAAAGAACUGGGUUUUUUUUAACGUUUAUAGAACGAGUACAAAACCUUUUAAACUGCUGUACAUGUGGCAUAUUCGGCAGAUGUGAUGCAGCAGGAGAGCAGAAUUCAACUUCUAAAAUCUCCAUUUACACACAGUAUAAAGGUCAAAGGUCAGCUCAACUUCCUUCUACAAGUGAGGAUGAAUAUAUAAUAUUGAUGCAUGAAAGCAGAGUAAAAUAAAAAUACUCUAAAACCUCAAAUUGUACUCCAGUAAAAUACUGGAUUAAUGUACUUUUUAAUAUGUAAAAGUAGGAAAAGCGUAAAAUUUUCAAAUGAGUCUUAAAAACGAAACCAUCUGAAUCAAACCCGUUACUCCGCUGAUAGUUUACAUUCCACCGCUAUAUUAGACGGUAUAAAGUGUUCAUGUAUUUUAGCAGCACAGAGUUAAAAGUAAAUGUUCUUGGGUGGUGAUGGCGCAGUGGAUAAGACACAUGCCCUGGGUUCCGUUCCCGCUGUGACGCGUCCACCGUUGUGUCCCUGAGCAAGACACUUAACCCCUAGUUGCUCCAGAGGCGUGCGACCUCUGACGUGCAUAGCAAUUGUAAGUCGCUUCGUGAAUGUGUGUGCAAAGUUUAGUUGAGUUUUCGAGCAUCCUUGGCCUCUUAGAAACCGCUUCCUGUUUCGCGGCGAAUAAUACCUCCAAUGAAAACCCACAGGCUUUAUUUAAUUUAAUGAAAACAAGAUUCACCACCAAUGAAAAGGUUCCUUUUGUUUUCUGACUUUUGUAAUCUGAAAUCACAUUUUGUUAUGUACACCAGUUAUCUAAAUGUUACAUCUACACUUUUUCUUCUAAACACAACAGUGAAUUUCUCCUCUGCGGAGUCCGACUUUUGUAUUGAGCAUCGGGGUGAUUAUGUGUUGUUUACUGUCUGUGUGUUACAGAUUCAUUCAGCAGAUUAGAUUCUGAUAUUUUUGAUGUUUGGAGCUGAAAACUUGUUGAUGUUCGUGGCUUUUUAGUUCAGGUGUCAAACAGGAAGUCAGAGCAGCGUCUUAACUCUGUUCCUGUUUGUCACACUGCUUUCAGAUGAGCACAUGAGACAGAUUAACACUUUUAAACCCUUUUUAUUUAACAAUAGAAGUUCUUAAAUGUUGGCUAAAACCAAGCAGCCCUUGGUGAACUGAUGACUGAACGGUAUGAUUUAUGUUUUAUUGUUAUGUUAUAUUAUCAGUGGUGGAAGAAUCAAAAGUCUUCUCAGCAAAAUGUACUUAAGUAUCAAAAGAUUACCUACGUUUCCCAGAAUGCCUCAGAAGACGUGUUGCUUUCAGCCUAAGGCGGUAUGGUCACCCCGGGGUCUCCUAGCAUCUCUAAGGCAGAGCCCCGACGCCCAACGGAGGAAACUCACGGGAGGUUUUCUGGGCACGUCCAACUGUUAGAAAAACACCGGGGUAGACCCACAACUCGCUGGAGAGAGUGUUUCACAUCUGGCUCGGGAAGGACUCCGGAUCCCCGAGGAGGAGGAGCUGGAAAACAUCUGGAGCACCUCGUUUAAUCCUGCUGCUACUUAAAUCACAGAUAAUAUACCUGAUGUGAUGCGUCAGUAAAUUACCUUAGAUCAGGUAAUAACUGCUACAUACUGUUUGUAAAUAUUUACCAUCUUUCCAGAUGCAAAACUGUGUCAACUUCUCAAUUUUGUUCUGCUGUAUUUUAAAUGAUUGUUUUUUACUGUAAUGGCUGCAACUAACACUUACUUAUUGAGGUGCGAAAGCAAACAAUGGAAGGUGAACACAUAAGUAUACCAGGUAAAUUAACCUGCUUACAUUUUUCAUUUCUAUUACACUUUUGUUACUUGUUUUAUCUAAAGUACUUUGAAUUGUCUUUUUGCUCUAAUUGUUAUAUACAAAUAAAACUCGCUUGGCCUGAUUUAUAA